This is a long non-coding RNA of Mangifera indica (mango), 1130 nucleotides long. RefSeq lists it as uncharacterized. The transcript is spliced from 2 exons. NCBI's taxonomy places the organism in Eukaryota, Viridiplantae, Streptophyta, Magnoliopsida, Sapindales, Anacardiaceae. The record is from RefSeq and is a predicted model, not a curated record.
UGAAAGAACAUCACAAACAAAACAAAUUUAUUUAAUAGAAAAUGGUAGGAUUAUAGAAGAACUAAUCGCAUUUUACACCCAAAUAAAUAUUCACGCAAAACCUAAUUACAGAAUCUAAAAUUAAAAUAAGACAUCUCAACACACCCCUUCGUCUAUCCCCAUGCUACCUUCACCACCGUCAACCAUCGCUUUCCGAAACCACCGUCGAUCAUUGCUUUCUAAAACCAUAAUCGCUCUGGUUCUAAUGAUUACAAAGGGGAAAACUCUUGACGUAAUUAAUAGUUGUAGGCGCUGUUGUGAUCUUUGAGGUGCAAAGAAGUUCUAGAUCAGAGGCAAGAAAGAAAGAAAUGCGUGUAAACAAGAGGUGGAGGUAACAUAUGUUAAUUUUUCUUUCUAUAUUUUGUGGUAUUCUUUCAUCUCUUGUGGAAAUCUUGACUUGUUAUAUGUGUCCUUCAGUGUGAGGCUAGUGACAGCAAUUCCUUUCCAAAUUUCUUAAACAUUGUGUCACCAAAUUCUUUAACAAAAAUUAUACCCCAUGAUCUAGCAAACUUAGAAUGGGGAAAAAGAAUUUAAUUAUUAGUUGAGCAUACAAGAAUUUAUAGACAUAUUCAGUUCAGGCCUCCUAUUCAUAAUUUGUUUUUCAAGUUUUUUAACUUGAUAAAAACUUUAUGCAGAAAAUUCAAUGUGUUUCCUUAGGAUAUCAUUGCAGAGAAUUUGUCUAAUGUUAUGCCAUUAGGAUUAAUGAAGCAAAGGAAAAAUGGAGGGCUAUCCGAUUUUAGAGGUGAAAUAAUUCAAUUAGUAGUUGUUUUCAAUGGGGAUCACUCCUUAAACAGAUUCCUGAAUGAGAUGGGUAAAAGAGACAAUAAAUAAAGCUCAUGAAUAUGUUAAGGAAGUUAUUUUGUGACUUACAAGAACAAGCAAGGAGACUAUCAAAUUGGGAGUAGAUGAAAAUGUUAUAAAUCUUCAAAGUAGAAUGCUUUUGUUUAUCACAAAAUGUAGAAUGAUGUUUAUUUAUAUUUGUAAUGCAAAAUGUAAUAGUAUUUAGGGAAUCACUUUUGAUGGAGCUAUUUUGUUGCUUUUGACAUUGCUAUUUUAAAUGGCUAUAUAUGCAAUCAAAUUUGUUAUGUCAA